Molecule: ribosomal RNA, 574 nt
Filed under: Magnaporthiopsis poae
Lineage: Eukaryota; Fungi; Ascomycota; Sordariomycetes; Magnaporthales; Magnaporthaceae
Description: SSU rRNA
Rfam family: Eukaryotic small subunit ribosomal RNA
Source: RNAcentral
GCCAUGCAUGUCUAAGUAUAAGCAAUUAUACAGCGAAACUGCGAAUGGCUCAUUAAAUCAGUUAUCGUUUAUUUGAUAGUACCUUACUACAUGGAUAACCGUGGUAAUUCUAGAGCUAAUACAUGCUGAAAACCCCGACUUCGGAAGGGGUGUAUUUAUUAGAUUAAAAACCAAUGCCCUUCGGGGCUCACUGGUGAUUCAUGAUAACUUCUCGAAUCGCACGGCCUUGCGCCGGCGAUGGUUCAUUCAAAUUUCUGCCCUAUCAACUUUCGACGGCUGGGUCUUGGCCAGCCGUGGUGACAACGGGUAACGGAGGGUUAGGGCUCGACCCCGGAGAAAACGCCUGAGAAACGGCGUUUACAUCCAAGGAAGGCAGCAGGCGCGCAAAUUACCCAAUGCCGACACGGCGAGGUAGUGACGAGAAAUACUGAUACAGGGCUCUUUUGGGUCUUGUAAUUGGAAUGAGUACAAUUUAAAUCUCUUAACGAGGAACAAUUGGAGGGCAAGUCUGGUGCCAGCAGCCGCGGUAAUUCCAGCUCCAAUAGCGUAUAUUAAAGUUGUUGCAGUUAAAAAG